RNAcentral lists this ribosomal RNA (406 nucleotides) under uncultured bacterium. RNAcentral describes it as "partial 16S ribosomal RNA". It matches the Rfam family "Bacterial small subunit ribosomal RNA", at positions 30 to 526 of the family's 1533-position model. The record is from RNAcentral.
AUUGAACGCUGGCGGCAGGCCUAACACAUGCAAGUCGAACGAGUGGCAGACGGGUGCGUAAUGUCUGGGAAACUGCAUGCUGGAGGGGGCUAACUACUGGGAACGGUAGCUAAUAACGCAUACCAUCAGAUGUGCCCAGAUGGGAGUAGCUUGUUGGUGGGGUAACGGCUCACCAGGGCGACGAUCCCUAGCUGGUCUGAGAGGAUGACCAGCCAGCAUGGAACUGAGACACGGUCCAGACUCCUACGGGAGGCAGCAGUGGGGAAUAUUGCACAAUGGGGGCAAGCCUGAUGCAGCCAUGCCGCGUGUAUGAAGACGGCCGUCGGGUUGUAAAGUACUUACAGCGGGGAGGCGUUACCCGCAGAAGAAGCACCGGCUAACGCCGUGCCAGCAGCCGCGGUAAUUC